CAGGCUUAACACAUGCAAGUCGAGGGGCAGCAUGGUUUUAGCUUGCUAAGGCCGAUGGCGACCGGCGCACGGGUGAGUAACACGUAUCCAACCUGCCGUCUACUCUUGGACAGCCUUCUGAAAGGAAGAUUAAUACAAGAUGGCAUCAUGAGUCCGCAUGUUCACAUGAUUAAAGGUAUUCCGGUAGACGAUGGGGAUGCGUUCCAUUAGAUAGUAGGCGGGGUAACGGCCCACCUAGUCUUCGAUGGAUAGGGGUUCUGAGAGGAAGGUCCCCCACAUUGGAACUGAGACACGGUCCAAACUCCUACGGGAGGCAGCAGUGAGGAAUAUUGGUCAAUGGGCGAGAGCCUGAACCAGCCAAGUAGCGUGAAGGAUGACUGCCCUAUGGGUUGUAAACUUCUUUUAUAAAGGAAUAAAGUCGGGUAUGGAUACCCGUUUGCAUGUACUUUAUGAAUAAGGAUCGGCUAACUCCGUGCCAGCAGCCGCGGUAAUACGGAGGAUCCGAGCGUUAUCCGGAUUUAUUGGGUUUAAAGGGAGCGUAGAUGGAUGUUUAAGUCAGUUGUGAAAGUUUGCGGCUCAACCGUAAAAUUGCAGUUGAUACUGGAUAUCUUGAGUGCAGUUGAGGCAGGCGGAAUUCGUGGUGUAGCGGUGAAAUGCUUAGAUAUCACGAAGAACUCCGAUUGCGAAGGCAGCCUGCUAAGCUGCAACUGACAUUGAGGCUCGAAAGUGUGGGUAUCAAACAGGAUUAGAUACCCUGGUAGUCCACACGGUAAACGAUGAAUACUCGCUGUUUGCGAUAUACGGCAAGCGGCCAAGCGAAAGCGUUAAGUAUUCCACCUGGGGAGUACGCCGGCAACGGUGAAACUCAAAGGAAUUGACGGGGGCCCGCACAAGCGGAGGAACAUGUGGUUUAAUUCGAUGAUACGCGAGGAACCUUACCCGGGCUUAAAUUGCAGAUGAAUUACGGUGAAAGCCGUAAGCCGCAAGGCAUCUGUGAAGGUGCUGCAUGGUUGUCGUCAGCUCGUGCCGUGAGGUGUCGGCUUAAGUGCCAUAACGAGCGCAACCCUUGUUGUCAGUUACUAACAGGUUCUGCUGAGGACUCUGACAAGACUGCCAUCGUAAGAUGUGAGGAAGGUGGGGAUGACGUCAAAUCAGCACGGCCCUUACGUCCGGGGCUACACACGUGUUACAAUGGGGGGUACAGAGGGCCGCUACCACGCGAGUGGAUGCCAAUCCCAAAAACCUCUCUCAGUUCGGACUGGAGUCUGCAACCCGACUCCACGAAGCUGGAUUCGCUAGUAAUCGCGCAUCAGCCACGGCGCGGUGAAUACGUUCCCGGGCCUUGUACACACCGCCCGUCAAGCCAUGGGAGCCGGGGGUACCUGAAGUGCGUAACCGCGAGGAGCGCCCUAGGGUAAAACUGGUGACUG
This 1430-nucleotide ribosomal RNA is filed under the name uncultured organism. RNAcentral's name for it is "16S ribosomal RNA". It matches the Rfam family "Bacterial small subunit ribosomal RNA". The record is from RNAcentral.